UCCUUUGUUGCCAGCGAUUAGGUCGGGAACUCAAAGGAGACUGCCAGUGAUAAACUGGAGGAAGGUGGGGAUGACGUCAAGUCAUCAUGGCCCUUACGACCAGGGCUACACACGUGCUACAAUGGCGCAUACAAAGAGAAGCGACCUCGCGAGAGCAAGCGGACCUCAUAAAGUGCGUCGUAGUCCGGAUUGGAGUCUGCAACUCGACUCCAUGAAGUCGGAAUCGCUAGUAAUCGUGGAUCAGAAUGCCACGGUGAAUACGUUCCCGGGCCUUGUACACACCGCCCGUCACACCAUGGGAGUGGGUUGCAAAAGAAGUAGGUAGCUUAACCUUCGGGAGGGCGCUUACCACUUUGUGAUUCAUGACUGGGGUGAAGUCGUAACAAGGUAACCGUAGGGGAACCUGCGGUUGGAUCACCUCCUUACCUUAAAGAA
Molecule: ribosomal RNA, 435 nt
Filed under: Salmonella enterica subsp. enterica serovar Bovismorbificans
Lineage: Bacteria; Pseudomonadati; Pseudomonadota; Gammaproteobacteria; Enterobacterales; Enterobacteriaceae
Also listed under: 2 other names
Description: partial 16S ribosomal RNA
Rfam family: Bacterial small subunit ribosomal RNA
Source: RNAcentral